CGACGGGCUCAUAUUGAACCUAGUGAUGUAUGGGUUAGUGGCGGACGGGUGAGUAACGCGUGGAGAACCUGCCGUAUACUGGGGGAUAACACUUAGAAAUAGGUGCUAAUACCGCAUAAGCGCACAGCUUCGCAUGAAGCAGUGUGAAAAACUCCGGUGGUAUACGAUGGAUCCGCGUCUGAUUAGCUGGUUGGCGGGGUAACAGCCCACCAAGGCGACGAUCAGUAGCCGGCCUGAGAGGGUGAACGGCCACAUUGGGACUGAGACACGGCCCAAACUCCUACGGGAGGCAGCAGUGGGGAAUAUUGCACAAUGGGGGAAACCCUGAUGCAGCGACGCCGCGUGAGUGAAGAAGUAUUUCGGUAUGUAAAGCUCUAUCAGCAGGGAAGAAAUACUGACCUUACGGUCAGCAGACGGUACCUGACUAAGAAGCCCCGGCUAACUACGUGCCAGCAGCCGCGGUAAUACGUAGGGGGCAAGCGUUAUCCGGAUUUACUGGGUGUAAAGGGAGCGUAGACGGCAGCGCAAGUCUGAAGUGAAAUCCCAUGGCUUAACCAUGGAACUGCUUUGGAAACUGUGCAGCUGGAGUGCAGGAGAGGUAAGCGGAAUUCCUAGUGUAGCGGUGAAAUGCGUAGAUAUUAGGAGGAACACCAGUGGCGAAGGCGGCUUACUGGACUGUAACUGACGUUGAGGCUCGAAAGCGUGGGGAGCAAACAGGAUUAGAUACCCUGGUAGUCCACGCCGUAAACGAUGAUUACUAGGUGUUGGGGGGAC
This 774-nucleotide ribosomal RNA is filed under the name uncultured bacterium. Its description in RNAcentral is "bacterial SSU rRNA". It matches the Rfam family "Bacterial small subunit ribosomal RNA", at positions 67 to 832 of the family's 1533-position model. The record is from RNAcentral.